Molecule: non-coding RNA, 1173 nt
Organism: Paramuricea clavata
Lineage: Eukaryota; Metazoa; Cnidaria; Anthozoa; Malacalcyonacea; Plexauridae
Source: the annotation of a GenBank genome assembly
AAAGAAGUUAUUAUACAGUUUUACGAGCACUUUCGUUUAAAUUGGAGGUCAAAAACUAUGUGUAGUUUGCUGAUGCAAAAUGUUGUUCAUUCCCAUGAAACUUGGCAUGUACAAUGUUUCCUUGUAUUUUCCUUAUGGUUUCAGGGCCUUCAAAUGUGCUUCUAUAUACGUAAACAGUCAUUGCAUCUUAUUCCAAAAUGGUGCGAAUUUUAAAAUCGGUACCGGUUUUUGCUCCACACGUGCUAUGAUUCUGAAUCUCGCAUGUGAUUGGCUAAAAUAGGUAAUACCAGUUUGGGAAAUAACAGAUAUAUAUUAGCAAUACUGUAUAAAUUGCAGUGAGUCUUAUUUGAAUAAACAUCAAUAAGACAAAAUCAUGCCAUCUUCCAUCUCGUUCCUGCAAACCGGUUACCGAAUUAUAACCAAAAACGUAUUCAGUUACUGGAAGAAAAAUGUAUAUAUAUUGACAAAAAUUAAGAAACGGUAAGGAAGCUCGAUGAAAUUCAUUAUCUAUGACUAUAUUAUUCUUGGUAAAACGUUAUGGGAAAAUGUGGUCCCUGUUUGUUAUAAUAUGUGCAUUGCAAUAAUUUUUGCCCAAUAUCAACCGAUGGCAAUCUUUAAACCAAGUCAUAGCCUAUCGAAGGGGAGAUGGCUGUGAAACUCAUUAGAAUAACAAUAUAACUCAUUAUCUAUGUUGGUCAACGUUUAUUCAAAAAUCUGGUCCUUCACCGUCACGUGUGUAUUGUAUUUUUACCCAACUAACCAAUAGCAAUGUUUUAGGAAAGUCACCUAUCCGUGACUCGAACAAUAGCGAAACUGGAAAUUGCUAUUGGCGAAUUUGGCAGAAAUACAAUACACGUGACGGUGAAGGAUUUAUGAAUACACGUUGACUAACACAGAUAAUGAGUUAUAUUGUUAUUCUAAUGAGUUUCACAGCCAUCUUCCCUUCGAUAGGCCAUGACCAAGUGAACAGAUCUUUCUCAUAAUGACGUCAGACGCGGAAAAACACUUAAUGCGGUGUUCCACGGUAAUGCAAAUGACGUUACACGCGAAGAACAAGGACCACAUUUUUGAAUAUACACAGUGGCAAAGCUAGAGGUCGUGCUAGUCGUGCUGAGCACGAGUAAAAUUUUUUCAAAGAAAAUAAUUUUUUAGUCUUAAAAAAAAAUUCCCCCA